GGAGAGUUACUCAAGUGGCUGAAGAGGCACCCCUGCUAAGGGCGUAGGUCAUCAAUUUGGCGCGAGGGUUCGAAUCCCUCACUCUCCA
This 88-nucleotide transfer RNA is filed under the name Acetilactobacillus jinshanensis. It matches the Rfam family "tRNA". From Rfam's summary of the family: Transfer RNA (tRNA) molecules are approximately 80 nucleotides in length. Their secondary structure includes four short double-helical elements and three loops (D, anti-codon, and T loops). The record is from Rfam by way of RNAcentral. RNAcentral also lists the same sequence under 1 other name. Lineage: Bacteria; Bacillati; Bacillota; Bacilli; Lactobacillales; Lactobacillaceae.